AACGGCCGUACCAUGCUGAAUAUACCGGUUCUCGUUAGAUCACCGAAGUUAAGCAUCAUUGGGCGUGGUCAGUACUUGGGUGGGUGACCACCUGGGAACACCGCGUGC
This 108-nucleotide ribosomal RNA is filed under the name Caerostris darwini. Lineage: Eukaryota; Metazoa; Arthropoda; Arachnida; Araneae; Araneidae. The record is from RNAcentral.